This 11236-nucleotide long non-coding RNA is filed under the name Musa acuminata (dwarf banana). RNAcentral describes it as "long non-coding RNA (MACU_LNC001083)". The record is from RNAcentral. Lineage: Eukaryota; Viridiplantae; Streptophyta; Magnoliopsida; Zingiberales; Musaceae.
AUUACACUACCAAAUCAUGGAUGCUGAACACAUGCAUAUUUGGAGGUUUUCGAUACGCUGACGAACGAGAAAGAGCAAGGAAGAGGAGGAGGUGGUGGAGGCAACGGCGGCAGGAAAAGCAAGCAAGAGAAGCCAUUACGCUUGCAGAACUCGGUGAUCUGAGCUUGGAACGAGUGAAGGGAGUAGCUCUAAAUAGCUGUGCCUCUGCGCGUUCAAGUUUCAACGGGUGGUACAUCGCUUUCUCCCACUUGUCUUCCUCCUGUGGCCACUCGAGUCCUCUGUGGCGAUUACGUCAUGCGUCAUUGCGCAACAAAUAACGGGUUGGGUCAAGGAAGAGACCCUCGUGAUUCUUUAUGAGAUCCAAUCCACUCACGAGCAGAAAAGGAGGUGUGAUCACAUGCUGGAAGGCACUAAGAAUUAAGCCCGUAUAAUUGACUCCUGACUUGUUGUCAGACACUCUCGAGUCCCGUGGGAAGACCAUCCAAGAAGAGGCCUCAGCUUUGAAUUGGAAUCUUCUUUCUAACUUAGGCCGUGAAGCAAUGGCGACCAACCUUUGAGUUAUUCCAUAGACUAACAACUUUGUGGCUAUUUGUUUAGUAUUGGAUUAAUGGACUGAACUCAAUCGUUCCUCGCCCAAAAGAACCAUUGGCUAAUGUUACUUGAUAUGAAGGAUCCAAAGCAACCACCAAGAAAAGAAUGUCGAAAGAAGAACCACAAAGCAUUUGAGAACAAUCAUGAUCUCAAGGUGGCCUAUCACUUUCUUCUUCCUUCUUUCCUGCUAUUUCUUCUGAUAUAAUCAUGUGGAAAGACAUAAUAUAAUCCAUCUCUAAGCAGUGUGGCUCCCUGUGGAAAGACAUAAUCUAAUCCAUCUCUAAGCAGUGUGGCUCCCUGCGACAGGCUCUCUUACGUUCAUGCGUUUCUGGCUGACAUAAGUCUACGGAGACAUGAUGUUGCAGAGGUUGCAUAAUCCACCGCACCUCUCCAACAUUUCACAUGGCAAGCCCCGUUCCGUUUGUCAUGUCCUUGCUAAGCUUUUGGAAUGUUGCAGAAAACGAGCCAUGGGGUUCGUGCAAUGCUUCUCAAAUUGGAACAGUGGUGAGAAAUCUGCGGUGGCUCAGUCACUGUCGGUCGAUAGACCAUGAAAUGUUUGAAGGACUCGUAAUUCUUCCUGCAUGUGUUUAAUUUCUCCUCGGGAUAAGCCAAGCACUUGAAAAACCAUCUCCAAUGCAUAAGCUAGAUUAAGCAUCUCAUGUGGAGAUCAGGAUACCUGCAGUUUAAGGAGUGCUAAUAUCACAGACUAUACAAAUCACCCAGCUUGUGUACUAGACAUUGUCUUUCUUCUCCGAUGAGUGGUCAGACUUCCACUUCAAGUGUUGGAAGAUGUAGCCAGGGCACUUGCAAAUAACAAGUCGGGUGGUUCUUGAUGUGGAUGGUUGGAGAUGGCAUUCUCGAGGGUUGUCGAAGGAUGCAAUUUGCAUUUCGACAUGGAACAGUGAAGAUAAUGUGCUUCCUCUGGUUCAGUGGUGCCAGUGCCUCAGCUACUAGCUUUGUUGCUUGCUCAUGCCAAGAUAAGUGGGAGGAGUAGAAAAUUAGAACCAUUCAACAAAGGAGAUGAUUCUUGCAACACCACAUUUGAAGCAUGGUCAUCAUGCAUCAACCUGUGUAGUAGGUGGUGUUCUAACAUUUGCACCCCAAAAAGAAGGGUUUGACCAAUGUGCAUUGGCUGUUGCUUCAACCUCUGUUCAGAAGCAGAAAGUGUUGUGCUAGCCAUCAUUAUUAAAGAUUAUGGAUGGUAGCAUCAACCCUUUUUUGUCAGUUACAGAGAUGACUGAAUCACUAAUGCUCAGAGACUCCAGCAUGGCUGGCCAUAUGUCCAGCAAGAAAACUAUGGAGAUCAACCCAGAGAAUCCUAUCAUGGAGGAGUUGAGGAAGCGAGCAGAUGCUGACAAGAAUGACAAAUCAGUUAAGGACCUGACACUUCUGCUGUUUGAGACUGCUCUCCUCACCUCUGGUUUCUGCUUGAAUGACCCCAAUACUAUUGGCAACAGGAUCCACCGAAUGCUGAAAUUAGGUCUCAGCAUCGAUGAGGAUGAAAAGGUUGAAGACACUGACAUGCCUACGCUUGAGGAUGCUGCUGAUGCCGAAGAGAGUAAGAUGGAGGAAAUGGACUAAUCUGGAUCAAGUUGGCUUUCUGUAUUCUGCUGCUUCUCUUGCAAUUUUUUGGUGUGCUUUUCAUAUAUGCACUAACUAUGUAGACGGCCUUCAUCACCUUUUGCCAAAGAGAUCUUUAUAACUGUUGUCUAUGCAUGCAUGGAUAAUUCAUGUUCUAUGUUAACAAGUCUAUGGUUUGAAUGUCGAUUUAGCAUGGUUGACAUUUCAUUUUUAUAGUCCUGUCUUGUGGCAAGAAGCUGCAUGAAAACAGAAUCAUGUCUAAGUUUGUCUUGAUAGUAAAUGCCAUGUUCCAGAGUAAGAUUUUGCUUUCAUUAAUUCGAGUUCGAUCGAUCAUGGAGCAUUUGGUUAUCGGAGUUCUAGAUGUUUUGCUUUGAUCAUUAGCUACGCAAUGGAAGUCAUGUGUGAAUUGUGAUGAUAUAAAUAAGAAGCUGCUGAAGAAUGACUGCCAAAUUCAACUUUACGGACAAAAGAGACAGACAUACUGAUAAUAGAUUCGGAGGAACAGAAUCUAUACUAUGUGAACAUACUGACUCCGGGUGUCUUCAUUUUGUCACCCAUUGUUCUUAUUGAUGCAGAAAACAAAGAGCAGGUGGUUGCGUGGUGAAUCAAUCAGCUGCAAGCCUGCGGCACAAAUCCAAUCCUCUCGUUUCCUAGAUCAUAGACCACUUCAAACGUUUGCUGCUGCACGUUGCCGAUGAUACCGAACCUACCGCCCUUAUAUCCAGUAAAAGCCAAGCAGCCAUGCAUGAGGAUCCCAGAUAUGUCGAGAUCCAUUGUGACUCCAUCGAAGAGCAGCGCUACUUUCGGGACUGUUAUGGUCUCGUAGCCGCUGAAGUCAUAACAGGUAUCGAGUACUCGCGUAGGAGGCGCAGCGGGGUACUGGGACAUGUAGCACCGGAACGCAGACCUCAGUGCUCCGUAGGCCGACGCCGGGAGGCGAGUGAUGGUAGUGCCGGAGUCGAUGAUCGUGCCACGGGACGAGAAAACCGAUGGCGAAAUGUCCAGUUGCUGCCCACCGACACUGAUUCCGAUCAGGUCAAGGAAGUAAAAGCUUGGAUGAUUGGAGCUGGUCUGCAUUCGAGUGUAAACGGUGUUGGAGGCGUCACCAGGUUCGCCCAGUUUCAGGAACCCGGUGGAGCUGGGAGUCGAAGGAAGGCAGUAGGAGAAGACCGACUGGUAAACUUGCGACGUUUGAGACACCAGAGAGCGCUUGCCGCGGCCGAGGCCCACGAGCCCUGCGGCGUUGAGGAACAGCCUUUCGUUGUCUGUGCCGCACCCGAAGAGGAAGGGCUCGAUCACGUCGUUUGGCGACAGCGUCAGUCUGUCGUAGCUGUAGACUCCUGAACGUUUCGGCCCACUGCCGUAGUGGAUGACAUAAGUGCAAGAGCUGGAGCAGCUGCUUCGGAGCUGACUGCAGUCCGACGAGUUGCAAGGGAUCGCGGCGUAGGAGGAUGAUUGGGAUGGGUCAAAGAUCGGCUCCUUCUGCGAGUAGCAUACGUUGCGUGGUUUGCAUUUGAUCCAACUCAGGUCGCUUCCGGUGUCCAUUAUCACAGUCUGCUCUUGGCUGGGGGUGCCAUAGCCGACUGUAAUCACGUACCCCCCUCCUCCGUACUCCGCGGGGAUGCUUGCCUUGGAAUCAUCGACCUGUGGCUUGGCGGAAGGCUUCAAGGCACUUCGCCGGAGAUAGUUGACUCGAAGUUGGUCUUUCAGAAGAAUCUCUUCCAGCGAUAGCAGUUUCUUGUCGUCGAAGGGGGAGCAGGGUCCAUGCCGAUGCACCAACGGGAGGGCGGUAGCGUUAGAUCCUGAGAACGACGAAACUAUCUUUUAAGGAAACUGUAUCAAAUGGUUUCAGCAAUUCAUGGGUAGAAUUUCCAAUUUUCUACGGAGUAUGAGAUCUGCAACCCAAAGAAAAGUUUGAUGCAAGAGAGCAGCUGGGGUAUGACUGACCCUUGGAUGAGGAGCAGACAACUUCGGGACUCGAAUUAUGAUUUCGAACCACGUGGUAGCUCUGAGCGUCUUCUCCGCUAGCAAGGGAAGAACAGUGACUCAGGAACAGAACAGAAGAGCCGAUUAAGAGAGCAGCCGAAGCCAUUUGCUGGGAAGAUACAAGCCCUGGCCGCAGGAUAGCUAUGGCAAUGCAUCCAAUUUAUAGAGACUUCGAAACCACUUUCUUUGUGCUACCACAUUGGCCUCUGAUUUGAGUCAAGUAUGUGGACUAGUCGUUGACUUCGAAUUGACUGGCAUCGUCAAGUUCUUCCACACAAUCACGGACCAAUUUAUGCUUAGUUUCGCAAUCCCACUGCAAAAUCCACGAAAUAAUUUGGUUUACGACACAACGAUGAGUUCGAAAGGAAGAGUUUUGACAGUUCAAAGUCGAAUGAUUAGAGCCACAACUCGAGUGCAACAUAAAUCCUGACUGGCUCAUAAAUCGUCAACUAAUAACAACCACAACUAAAUGCUUCCUUAUGGGUGUUCUACGAGUCACCCAGGCGAGUGGAUCGGGAGCUAAUCGAGAGGGAAUUACACAGUAUACUUCCAUGUCCGCACGAACCAAAGUGCGCAAGAACAUGGACUCGUACUUCUGAAACCUGCAAUGAUAGAUCGAUAGCUCCGAUACUGUAUGUGAUGAACGGAUUGCACUAUGAGAAUAACUUCAGCUGGUCUGGUGUUGAAUCAAUGGUUGGCAGCAGCAGAGGCUAAUCAAAAGAAGAAGACGAAGAGGAGGUACAGGCAGGGGAGGUGGCCAUGAAAGAGACACACUCCCAAAUGAUUGCGAAGGACAAGCUACUCCAAGUGACAUUAAACUACUCGGCAACAAUGGCGUUUUCCAAUUAAUCAUGGACCAAUUUAGCUUUAUUUGGAGAGUAAAAUAGGAUGGAAAGUUAUCAGACUUUGUAGAUCUUUAUGCAGACUAGAAGAGUUUAUUAUUAGUAACAUAUAUUUUCUACGCAUGUUAAGAUCUAUAAAGUUGCAGAUGGUGUGAUUUAUAAUGAAAACAAUAUCACAACAGUUAUCCCUUUUAUUAAAAUUAUCACAAGUACAAGUUUGAAUUAUGAAUUAGACAUGAAUUUGCUAUUAGAUUUAAGCUUCCCAUACAUUUUAUGUUAUUAUUUGUUUUUUUGAUCAAAUAUACUUUUCUUAUGAUUAAGAAUAAUCUACAGUAAAUUAAAUUAUAUGUGCCUUCAACAGCUAGUUAUAGAAUUAUAGCAUUUCACUCACAUCCUCUAGCUUUUCUCUAUCGUCUUCCUCCUUUCGAUGUGGUGACUAAAUAGACCAUCCUUCAGAAGGACCCUCGUGAUUCUUUAUUAUAUACGAAGAAAAAUGUUGUUAGAUUAAUUAAUCUGAGCUCUAGCUUAUACUUCCAAAACAUAAUGCCAAACACAUAAUUAACCAAGAAAAGAGGCACACGUACAGAAGAACCAGAAUGGUGUAUCACAGAUAACAGUUUACUGAAAUAGAAGCAGGGAGGUGGAUGCUGAAAUAGAACGGUAGACAAUUCUGGUGAAGGUAAUAGAGGCUGACUGCCAGCUGCAGGUGCAUGCUAUAUAUCCUUAUGCCUCAUGCUAUUUAUUUAUUUAUUUAUAUUUAUAUAUAUGCAUGAGGUGAUACUGAUCAGCUGCAAGCGUUCGGCGCGAAUCCAAUUCUCUCAUUUCCUACAUCGUAGACUACUUCAUAUGUUCGCUGCUGCACAUUGCCAAUGAUCCCCAAGCCACCAACUUGAUUAGCAGAAAAUGCCAAGCAGUCAUGGAAGAGGAUCCCAGACGAGUCGACGUCCAGGGUGAUUCCAUCACCAAAUUGCAGUGCUAUGCUGGGAACUGUUAUGGUCUCGUAGCCGCUCAAGUCAUAGCAGGUAUCAAGCAGUCCAUUAGUAGGCUUAAGAGGGUACGCCGACAUGUGCUCCCGGAACGCCGACCUCAGGGCCUCGUAGGCCGACGGCGGGAGGCGAGUGAUCGUAGUGCCGGAGUCCAAGAACGUGCCACCGGACCUAAAAACCGAUGGCGAAAUGGCCAGCUGCUCCCCGGCCACGCUGAUUCCGAUCAGGUCAACGAAGUAGUAGCUUGGAUCAUUGGAGCUGGUCAGCAUUCCAGUGUAAACGGUGUUGGAGGCGUCACCAGUUUCGCCCAGUUUUAGGAACCCCGUGUUGCUGGAAGUCGAAGGAAGGCAGUAGGAGAAGACCGAGUGGUAAAGUUGCGACGUCUGAGACACAAGAGACUGCUUGUCACGGCCGAGACCCACGAGCCCUGCGGCGUCGUGGAACAGCACUUCGUUGUCGGUGCCGCACCCAAAGAUGAAGUCCUCGAUCACGUCGUUUGGCGACAGCGUUAGUCUGUCGUAGCUGUAGACUCCUGAACUGUUCGACCCAUCGCCGUAGGGGAUGAAAUAAGCGCAAGAGCUGGAGCAGCUGCUUGGGAGCUGACUGCAGUCCGACGAGUUGCAAGGGAUCGCGGCGUAGGAGGAUGAUUGGGAUGGGUCAAAGAUCGGCUCCUUCUGCGAGUAGCAUACGUUGCAUGGUUGGCAUUGGAUCCAACUCAGGUCGCUUCCGGUGUCCAUUAUCACAGUCUGCUCUCGGCUGGGGGUGCCAUAGCCGACGGUGAUCACGUACUCCCCUCCUUGGAGCUCCGCGGGGAUGCUUGCCAUGGAAUCAUUGAGCUGUGACUUCACGACACCCUUUAGGAGAUAAUUUACUCGAAGUUGGUCUUUAAGAAGGAUUUGUUCAAGUGAUGGCAGUUCCUUUGUCUCGAAGGGGGAGCAGGGUCCAUACCGACUGACCAACCGUAGAGAGGGAACGUUGGAUCUGAGAACCAUGCAUGCAUGCAUGGAAGUAUAUAUCACCACCAAUAGUCAGUAUUAUUUUUUUGUCUUUUAAGUAAAUUUACGUCAAACAAGUGCAGCAAUUUAUGAGUACAACUUCCAUCUGCUUGCUCAGUAACAUCGUGCGUCCAAUUUACAGCUUAAAGAGAUAGAGAAGGAAGACUUAGUUAAAACUACAGAUGAUACUUUAUAACAGGUACGAGAUCUGCAGCGCAAAUAAAACACCAAAAGUAGGAGGCAGCUGAUGUAUGAUUAACCUUUGAGCGGGGAGCAGACUGCUCCGGGAUUCAAAGAACGUCUUUGAACCUUAUGGUAGCUCUGUACUUCUCCAUUGGCAAGGUGAGAACUGUAGCUUAGGAGCAGAAACAGAACACAAGAGCUGGUUAGGAGGGCAGCUGAAGCCAUUAGUUAGCUGGGGAGAUACAAGUCUUGUGCGUAGGAGCUCUGGCAAUGCAUCCAAUUUAUAGAGAACCUUCAGUACUACCUUCUCUCCUUUGAAUCUUCAAAGCGAUGCUAAUGGUUUGGCCUCUGAUUACCACAUGCGAAAUUGAUUUAGAAGGCUGUGGACUAGUCGUUGACGUAGGACCCACUGGCUUAUUCAAGGUCAGAUUGUCCGAUCUUCGCGGAGUCACAUAAAUCUUAUCGCGUAUCCCCGUCGAGGUGUGGAAGAUCCGUGUACAUUAUCAGAUCUCCAAUCGGCUACCAGUCCGAAGCGAGAUGUCCAUAGGAUCCUCUUCCACUGUGGCUCUUGCGGAACCAGAUUGCAAAGAACAUGUCAUAUCUCAGAGUUACUUUUGUACUUCAACCACUAUGAGAAUAACUUUGGCCGAUUCACUGAUAUGAUUGUUAAGUUCUAGGCGUUGAAGCUGUGGUGGGCUUAAGGAAUCAACACAGGCAAUUUGAUAUUACUGCACUUCUCUUGUUGGCAGUAUCGGACGGUAAGGAAAAGAAGAAGAUGAGGAGGAGGAGGAAGCCGGGUAAGACACGGACGGCGAGGUGGCCAUGAACGAGACAUUCAAGAACUUAUUUAUUGCACAAGACAAGGUACGUCUAUGUCAUUAUCAACUAAGGAACGAUGAAAUGAGUUCUCGGAUCAAUUAUGGACCAUAUUAUUGGGCAAUAUCUUCUUUUGCUUCAUUUAUUAUCUGUGCAAUAUUGAUAGCAAAUGGACGAAAGCCGCCUGUAUUUAUAUUUCUGUAUUUUUUCGCGUUAGAUAAGGUUAGGUACAGAAGCUCUGUAGACUUAAGGGAAGGAAAAAACUACUCACAACAAUUUGGUAAUGUAAUGUUUUUGAUAAAUAUAUAAAUGAAUUAGAUAAAUAUAUAAAUAUAUAUAUGUUAAAUAUAUAAUUCAAACCAGCAUCAGACUGUACAAAAAAAGGAGUAAUUUUUCAAAAAAAAAUCUUUUUUUUAAAAAGAAAGGAAUCCAUGUUUUACUUUUUCCCAAAAUGAUGCUCCCUAAAUGGAAUAAUACUCAAAAUACUCAUCAUCAACGCUAAUGGUAUUUUUUUAUCAGUUUUGAACCAUUAUAGUGUUUUUAUUUGGCUCAUUUAUAAUAUUUUUCAAUAACAUUACGGUAUUGUGAUGGUCGCAAUAAUUUUUAUCCAUAUUUAGAUGAUGUUAUUCUUAAAUUAUUAUAGUACCUAUUUGAAUUCUAAUAUGAUAUAUUAAAUAAUUUUUAGUAUAUUUUGAUUUUAUUUGACUUGCUUAUAGUAUUUUUUUUAAUAACAUUAUAGGUUUUAUUAUGAUAUUAAAGAUAUUAUAAAGCUAUUGAAAAAUAUUGUAAGUAACUUCGUAUUAUGUCUCUUUGCUUAUCAUUGCUCAUAGACUAUUACACUAGGAAAUUUUUAGGUUUAAGGUUGGUUUAGCUAAUGUUAUGAUUUCAUUUGUAUUAUAUACUAUUUAUACUAUUUCUAAGUCGAUUUUAUAGUAUUUUUUUAUGGUGACAAAAUAUUAUAGUAAGUCAAAACACUAUAUAUAAUGGAUGAGAAAAAUAUUUUUAUGGUUGAUGAGAGAUAUUUUGGAUAUUAUUUAUAAUGAGAGACCAAUCAAAAAAAUAAUAUUUUUUGAAAAAAAAUAAAAAAGACUUUCUCAAGAAAAUCAUUAAAAAAAAUCUUCUAGAAGGAAUUUGACACGACCAAUCGAUGCUUUGACCGUUGCUUUGUUAACCUUUCACAGUUACUUUUAUUCUGUCGUUCGUCCUUUAAUCAUUCCAUUUGUUUGCUACUGUCGAAUGACUGACUGAUGAUUUCAGCUGCAAGCUUUGGCCCCAAAUCCAAUCUUCCUCUUGGAGACGUCAUACACCACGUUGUACGUUCUCUGCUGCACGUUGGCAAUGAUGGCCGGGUCGUCGGCGUUGUCGUUUCCAGCGAAGGCCAGGCAAGCCUGCGACACGCUCGCCACGUAAAGAAUCCCGGUGAAGUCGACGCUAAGCGUAGCCCCGCCGCUGAACACGAGCGCCACAGUCGGCACCGACACCGUCGUGUACCCCGUGAAGUCGUAGCACGUGUCCAGUAUCGACAACGCCGGCGCGGGCGGGUACUGUGUCAUCUUCUGCUUGAACGCCGACCGCAGGACGGCGUAUGCCGACGGUGGCAGCCGCGUGAUCACCGUGCCGGAGUCCAUCAGCGUCCUAGCGGUCGAGAACACCAUCCUCGAGAUGGGCAGCUGUUUGCCGCCCACCUUGAUGGCUAUCAACCUCACGAAGUAGAACGAUGGCAUUUCCGGCACCGUCAGCAUGGGCGUGUACUUGGUGCUCGACCGCGAGCCACGGCCGAUGGUUAGAUAGCCGGUCGAGCUCGACGUCGAGGGCAGGCAGUAGGAGAACACCGCGCCGUACUUCCGCGACGCCUGCGACACCAACGACACGCUUCCACGGCCGAGGCCGAGGAGCCCGGCGGCCCUGCCGAACAGCCCGCUGUUGGUGUCGCCGCAGCCGAACUUGAAGCCGGGCAGCACGUCGGACGGCGACAACGAGAGAGUGUCGCGGCCAAAGGUGCCCUGCGUCUGCGACUUGUCGCCGUACUGGACGUCGUAGCGGCAGGUGGACGCGUUGGAGCAGCUGUGCGAGUCGAGCCGGCCGCAGUCGGCGGAGUUGCAGGCCAGAGUGGCGUACGUGGAGGACUGGGCCGGGUCGAACACCGGCUCCUGCUGCGCGUAGCAGUCGUUGCAUGGCUUGCACUGGAUCCACGUCACAUCGCUGCCGGUGUCGAAGACGACGGAGAAGUCCAUGAGGGGGGUGCCGAAGCCGACCGUGACCACGUAGUUGCCGGUGCCGAGGGAGCCGCCGGUGCGGGCGGGGAUCCUUGCCGCCGACGAGCUGCGCAGCUUGUCGACCUGAGCAGCAGCAGAGGCCCGGACAUGGAGCGAGUCGACUCGGGCUUGGUCGGCGUCGAGAAGUCGGGCAUGGGGCAGCUUCCGACCUUCGUCAAACGGCGAGCACGGACCGUGCCGAUGGACUACCUUCAACUUGGACGGAUCAGAAGCUGCGGAAUUGGAAAUUACGGAAAGAUUCAUUUAGCAUCAGGGGAUUGGAAUCAUUCAUAAACAAUGGUUGAUAUUAGAAUGAAGGAUAUACUAAGUUCAUGGUGGAAACAAUCUGUUGGUGGACUGGGAGAUGAAUUUUCCUGGCUUGUUCUCUGUGACUCAACUUUGAAUCAUUAUCAAUCCAAACUACAAUGAUUUGAGCUCGAUCGAAACUAUUAUAUGAUGGAUAAGACACUGCUGCUGUCCUUGGUUGGUCACCAAUCGCUCUCCUCUGUUGACCUACCUCUUUAAACAAGCAUCGUGUGCAGGAAGACAUCCUAAACCUGCACAGGCCAUCUUGACUUCUGCAUAGCUUUUCGGUGGUAUACACGUUGUUUUCUGCAUGUACACUAUGCUAUAUACAUACAUACAUAUAUAUAUGUAUAACACUCGAAAUUCUAUAUAUAUGGAAAGAAAAUUGUCUCAACCUUCUGGGGAAGAGCACGAAGACUUGGGUAGCAAAUCAUGGAUGCUGAACACAUGCAUAUUUGGAGGUUUUCCAUACGCUGACGAACGAGAAAGAGCAAGGAAGAGGAGGAGGAGGAGGUGGUGGAGGCAACGGCGGCAGGAAGAGCAAGCAAGAGAAGCCAUUACGCUCGCAGAACUCGGUGAUCUAAGCUUGGAACGAGUGAAGGGAGUAGCUCUAAAUAGCUGUGCCUCUGCGCGUUCAAGUUUCAACGGGUGGUACAUCGCUUUCUCCAACUUGUCUUCCUCCUGUGGCCAUUCGA